CAGAAGUGUUGACAGAUUAAGAAAAUUAAAUCUAGGGAGAUGUCUGUUUAUGGAAAUUUUAUGGAUUAAAGUAGCAUGUUGGCAUUAAUGGAG
Molecule: non-coding RNA, 93 nt
Organism: Ceratotherium simum simum (southern white rhinoceros)
Lineage: Eukaryota; Metazoa; Chordata; Mammalia; Perissodactyla; Rhinocerotidae
Source: RefSeq, a predicted model, not a curated record